Molecule: ribosomal RNA, 433 nt
Filed under: uncultured bacterium
Lineage: Bacteria
Description: partial 16S ribosomal RNA
Rfam family: Bacterial small subunit ribosomal RNA
Source: RNAcentral
AACGAACGCUGGCGGCAUGCCUAACACAUGCAAGUCGAACGAGACCUUCGGGUCUAGUGGCGCACGGGUGCGUAACGCGUGGGAACCUGCCCUUAGGUUCGGAAUAACUCCCCGAAAGGGGUGCUAAUACCGGAUAAUGUCUUCGGACCAAAGAUUUAUCGCCUUAGGAUGGGCCCGCGUUGGAUUAGCUAGUUGGUAGGGUAAAAGCCUACCACUGCGACGAUCCAUAGCUGGUCUGCGAGGAUGAUCAGCCACACUGGGACUGAGACACGGCCCAGACUACUACGGGAGGCAGAAAUGGGGAAUAUUGGAAAAGGGGCGAAAGGCAGAAGGAGCAAGGAUGGGUGAGUGAUGAAGGUCUGAGGGUAGGAAAGCAAGUUUACCCGGGACGAUAAUGACAGUACCGGGAGAAUAAGCACCGGCUAACUCCGUG